AACUAUAUAGUAAAAUUUCUUAGUUUUAUAACUAAAAUAGUUUGGCAGCAAGCAAAUCCAUUCAGGGGAAGGUGUGCUGUAAAGGACGAUCCGCCUACUAAUUUACUUAGUUUCUGUUGGUGUAUAUCUGGUUUAAUAUUAUUGCUUAAUAGUUUAAUUUGUGCAUAAUUAUUAUUUAAGCCAAGUCUAUGUGCUGCUUAUCUAAGUUUUCAUGCGUUACUUUUAUAAAACUAAAUUUGUAAUAGUUUAAUAUUUAGGACUUGAUAGUAAUAUAAAUUUAUUUUGUUUAUGAUCUUACAAUAUAGUAUUAAU
This 312-nucleotide ribosomal RNA is filed under the name Hymenolepis sp. VKDG-2001. RNAcentral describes it as "partial 12S ribosomal RNA". Lineage: Eukaryota; Metazoa; Platyhelminthes; Cestoda; Cyclophyllidea; Hymenolepididae. The record is from RNAcentral.